AGGUGUGUUGGUGUAAAAAUUGAUGCUGACUGAACUCAGGCAGUUGUGCUGGACCAUCUGUACCUAAUACAGGGGAUGACAGUAAACUUCCAAGUUUAAGAGCCACCUGAUGAUGAGAGAGACAAUUUCAAUGUGGGCAUCUUGAUGAAGAAGAGUCCACAGUCACAAUAACAAGAUCAUUGAGCUGUCCCCUAAUUGUGGUGAGCUACAUGUUUAGUCUCUUAUGUGCUAAACAUUAUGUAGCCUAAGGAAGCAGCCCUGACUCUGGAGUUUAUAUGAAGGUAUGUUUUUACAUUUUUAAGUUUAUUUCAUUUUUAUAAGACAAG
Molecule: non-coding RNA, 326 nt
Organism: Danio rerio (zebrafish)
Lineage: Eukaryota; Metazoa; Chordata; Actinopteri; Cypriniformes; Danionidae
Source: RefSeq, a predicted model, not a curated record